CCUACGGGUGGCAGCAGUGGGGGAUAUUGCACAAUGGGCGAAAGCCUGAUGCAGCGACGCCGCGUGAGGGAAGACGGUCCUCGGAUUGGAAACCUCCGUCUGUGGGGGAGAAAAUGACGGUACCCAUAGAGGACGCUCCGACGAACUACGAGCCAGCAGCCGCGGUAAUACGUAGGGAGCAAGCGUUGUCCGGAUUUACUGGGUGUAAGGGGAGCGUAGGCGGGAUGGCAAGUAGAAUGUUAAAUCCAUCGGCUCAACCGGUGGCUGCGUUCUAAACUGCCGUUCUUGAGUGAAGUAGAGGCAGGCGGAAUGCCUGGUGUAGCGGUGAAAUGCGUAGAUAUUAGGCGGAACACCAGUGGCGAAGGCGGCCUGCUGGGCUUUAACUGACGCUGAGGCUCGAAAGCGUGGGGAGCAAACAGGAUUAGAUACCCUUGUAGUC
Molecule: ribosomal RNA, 439 nt
Filed under: uncultured bacterium
Lineage: Bacteria
Description: partial 16S ribosomal RNA
Rfam family: Bacterial small subunit ribosomal RNA
Source: RNAcentral